AAAACGAGACGUUUAUUAGAUUAAGAGAAUGAAAUGAUUUAGAGAAGAUUAAGGAACAGAAUGUGAGAUUAUGAAGAGUUUAGGUGAGAAUCAUGAUUAAGAGAGUAUGAAUGUAGAGAGAUAGACUCAGAACUGUAUGUUUAUUAUUAAUGACAAGAGUUACAAUAUAUAGUGAGAGAUCAUUAGGGUUUUCGAAAUCAUAAAGAGGAGCUAAGCAUGUGAGGUCAACAAGGUUAGGAUAAGCUCUCUUUAACUCGGCCAAUCAGCGUUCCCACAUGCUUGGAGCAUCUAGGAUCUUGGACAAAGAUGCUCUUGCCUUUCCAGCUGUGCCAGCCUGUAAAGCCGCGCCUCUCUUAUCCUCAAACGGUCUGAUUCAUCAGCCAAAGCUCCUUCUCCUCCCAUAAGUUACUCGGGUAACUUCUUGUAACCGCGGUCGAGGUUUCACUUGUCUGGAUGUGUACGGACCGUACGGCCUUGUACGGCCUUGUACGGUCAGGCCAAUGUGAACCUCUCCCAUCACACCAAUGCUUAACAUACCCUCUUCAGUCUUCACCCCUUAGUACUUCACACUUGUAUAUUCAACUCUUCUCAACACUCCCCCUCAAGCUUAGCUUUGUGAAGUCUAAGCUUGGACACUAUGAGAUCUUCCUCAUUAAAAACCUCAUCAAAGAAAACCCAUUGGGACAAAACUUUGAUGAGGGAAAAAGAGUAAAGACCUCACAGGAAGGGGAUCAGCUCUUGGCUGAGAGAUCAAUGAGUCCUAACCUGAUGUAGAUGGACUCCAUUGUCUUCAUCCUUGCGGCUUUAGUAAACACAUCAGCCAACUGAUCUUCACUUCUUGUAUAGCAUGGCAGAAUCACUCCCAAGACUAUCAUCUGCCUCACCUUGUGACAAUCCACUUCAAUAUGCUUGGUUCUCUCAUGAAACACUGAGUUAGAGGCAAUGUGGAUUGCAGCCUGGUUGUCACAAUGCAUUGUCAUAGGCGCCGCUUGCUCAAUCUCAAUGUGCUUCAAGAUCCCCUUGAUCCACACUAACUCAUUGGUAAGCUUCAGCAUUGCCCUAUACUCAGCUUCAGCACUUGAGCAGGAGACUACUUUCUGCUUCUUGCUCUUCCAAGUCACAAGGUUCCCUCCAAUGAAGGUGCAGUAACCGGUUGUAGAUCUUCUGUCUGCUCUAUCUCCAGCCCAAUCUGCAUCACAGUAGCCUACUACUUCUGUACUCCCAUUGCAUCCCAUCCAAACUCCUUGGCCUGGUGAUCCGUUGAGAUAGCUAAGCACUCUGUCCACCAUUCUCCAAUGGUGAUCCUUUGGAGCUUGCAUAUGUUGACUAACCUGAUUCACAGCAAAGCAGAUAUCAGGUCGUGUAAUUGUUAAGUAGAUUAGCUUACCCACUAGCUUCCUAUAAAGCUUAGGGUCGUGGAAUAGCUUGCUGUCUUCAAGCUCCCCCUCUCUUGGUACUUUGUACCCAUCCUCCAUUGGCAUCUUAGCAGUUUGUCCUCCAAGUUUACCUGCAUCUUUCAAAAGAUCAAGUGUAUACUUCCUUUGGGACAUGAAUAAACCUUCCUUGGAUCUACAAAUCUCAAUUCCAAGAAAGUAUUUCAUUUCCCCUAAAUCCUUGAUUUCAAAUACAGAUUUAAGGUAGUCUUUGGUCUCUUGUAUUCCAACCUUAUCACUUCCAGUAAUGAUAAUGUCAUCCACAUAGACCAAGAGACAGAUGAUACCUGAUUGUGUGACUAGAGUGAACAGCGUGUGAUCCAAUUCUGAUUUCCGGAAGCCUCUUCCAUUCAAGGUUGUGCUCAGCUUAUGAUACCAUGCUCUAGGAGAUUGCUUCAGUCCAUAGAUGGCUUUCUUAAGUCUCAACACAUUUCCGGGCUUCACCAUGCUCUCUAGUCCCGGAGGAGGAUGCAUGUAUACUUCAUCUUCAAGCUCCCCUUGGAGGAAUGCAUUCUUCACAUCCAUCUGCCAUAAGCCCCAUCCAAGGUUUGUUGCAAUGGAUAAUAUGAUUCUGAUUGUGUGAAGUUUAGCCACUGGUGCAAAGGUAUCAAUAUAAUCUUCUCCAUAUGUUUGAGUAAACCCUCUAGCCACCAGCCUUGUCUUCUUCCUAUCAAUCCUUCCAUCAGGUAGAUACUUGAUUGUAAAUAUCCAUUUACAAGACACUGCCUUCUUCCCUUUAGGCAGCUCACUCUCAUACCAGGUUUCAUUCUUAAUCAUAGCAUCAGCCUCAUCCGCAACUGAAUCUCUCCAUUCUUUGUCUUUCAUUGCCUCAUCAUAUGUCCUUGGUAUAUAGCUUGUAUCCAAACUGAUCAUAAAUGCGUGAUGUUCAUCUGGAAACUGAGCAAAUGAACACACAGCUUGACUAGGAUGUGCCACAGCUUGAGCAUUGUAGUAGACUCUGGUGUUGGUCCAGUUAGAUGGAUCCCUCCUCACUCUUGUACUCCUUCUUAACGGUACUGUCUCCAUAAGUGGAUCAAUCUCCACUCCCGGUUCCCUAGUUGCCGCUUCAUUCAGUACUUCUCCUUCUUCUCCUCUUUCAGAUUGUACCUCAAACUGAUCUCUUUCUUCAGUUUCAUCUUCAUUUCGCAUCCCUUGUUGAUCAGGACUUGCGCUCCCUUCAUUCUCAUGAGCUCCAUCAGACUGGUUUCCCCCUUCAUGAUCAGCAUGGGGUGUGUCUUCAGCUUCAUUUUGAACUGGUGCUUCUCGCCCUUUUGGAUCCUGGGUUGUAUUGAUCCCAAGACCAUCCAAGAUCAUCCUAAGGCUUGCAGCCUUGUCAGAUGGUUGAGCUAGAUCCUUCAAAUCUUCCCAGCUUCUUUCUUCAUAGUACCCCUUAGUCUCUAUAAACUUCACGUCUCUUGACACUAGGAGUCUUCUCGUUUGAGGAUCAAAGCACUUGUAUCCUCUUUGUGUAGUGGAAUACCCCACAAACAUAGCCUUAGUACUCUUAGGUUCCAGCUUGUUCCUCAUAUCUCCCGGAAUCAGUACAUAACAAAGGCUUCCAAACACUCUCAAGUGGCUUAGAGAUGGCUUGAGCUUGUUUAACACUUCAAAUGGUGAUUGAUCCUCCAAGACUCUUGUGGGAAUCCGAUUGAUCAAGUAGCAGGCUGAGAUCACAGCAUCACUCCAGAAUCUCUUUGGGACAUUUGUUUGGAACAUCAUUGAUCUUGCAACCUCCAUGAGGUGUCGAUUCUUUCUCUCAGCCACUCCAUUCUGCUGUGGAGUGUAGGGACAGCUAGUUUGAUGAAGGAUUCCGUGUGAAGCUAGAUGUUGCUUGAAGGCAUUGCUUGUAUACUCCCCACCAUUAUCUGAUCUGAAAAUCUUAAGCUUGGCAUUAUAAUGGUUAGAUACAUAAGCUUGAAAGUUUUUAAAUGCCUCAAGAACUCUAUCCUUAGUUUUAAUGAGUGUUAACCAGGUGUAUUUGGAUUUUUCAUCAAUGAAUGUUACAAAAUACUUAUAGUUUUCCCUAGACAAGCAAGGAGCAGUCCACACAUCAGAAUGCACAAGAUCAAAACAUUUCUCAUAGAUAGUAGUUGAGUUCUUAAAGACUGUCUUACAAUGUUUGCCCAAGAUACAUGCUUCACAUUCAUUAUUUUUAAACAUGACACCUGGUAACAUUAAGCUUAAGGCUCUAACAUGUGGGUGACCUAGUCUAGCAUGCCACAAUGCAUUAUUAUUCAAACUGGAAAUAGAACUAAACGAGCAACUUGAAUUGGAAACAGGAGCUAUGUCUUCUAGCAUAUAAAGCUCUCCUUUGGUAACUCCCUUGCCAAUCAUUUUCCUUGUAUCAAUAUCCUGAAACUUCACAUCAUUAGGACUAAAGAUAACAUUGCAAUGCAAAUCAGUAGUACAUCUUUUAACAGAUAAUAAAUUAGAUGUGAAUUCAGGCAUAUAAAAUGCUUUAGACUCUUUAUCAAACAGCUUUAGAUUUCCUAUUCCUUUAAUUGCAAUUCUAUCACCAUUAGCAAUCAUCACAUUUCCACAAGCAGGUUUUAUAUUUUUAAUCAAACUAGUGUCACUAAUCAUGUGAUGAGAAGCUCCUGAAUCUACAAUCAAUGGUUUUAUCACAUUACUAGCUGCAAAGGUUCUAUGCAAAUCAUUCAAGCUGUUUAGAGUUCUAGGUGCUCUAGUAAUCUCAAUACUAUGACUUAGAUAUCCAUCAGUUCUAUCUAUAUAGGAUGCAGCAAGAGAGUAUCCUAAAGGAGAGUUCAUACAGUUACCAUUCUCCUUGAGAGCUUUGAUGAGGGCAUCAAUGUCUGAUCUCCUUAUCAUCUCACCAUCAGUGCUCUUCCCCGGAGUGUGUUGGGUAGUUAAGGCCUUUCCUUCACCAUCUCGCAUUGUCUGCCCAGCUCCGGAUGUUCCAGCUUCACUUGCCCCUUCAGACAGAUGCGCCCUUGCUUCUUUCUCCUUCAGGAACUUUGCUGGCUUGAGGUGAGGGUGUAGAAUCCAGCAUUGGCUUCUCUUGUGGUCCUGCUUCUUGCAAUGGUCACACUUUCCUCCAAACUUCCCUUCUUCAGUGCGGUAAGCCGCCUUGUUUGCCUGGAUAGUAUCAGCUUGGUUUGCAAGUGUGAGCUCCCCCUUGCCUCCGAACAGCCCAACUGAUCCCUCUUCUUUUUGUAUCUGAGCACACACAUCUUCAAGGGAGGGAAGCUUUGGUGACCUCAAGAUGUGCUUGAUGAGAUCAUUAAAGAUCGGAUUCAAGGUGAGUAGUAAGCCGAACACUUGGUCUUGUUCUCUCCUUUCCAUGAGCACAUCUUGGUCAGUGGUGUUGGGCCUCAGCAUCUCUAGCUCUGACCACAAGGCUCUGAACUUUCCCAAGUGUUUAGUAAACUCCACCUCCUCUUGCACAAGUGUGUUGAUCGAUCUCUUCAACUCAAACACACGGCUCAGGUUAGAUGUGUUACCAUAGACCUUUUGGAGUGUCUCCCACAGGUCCUUUGGCGUCUCACAGUAGCUGUAUGCUUCCAAGAUCGAGGCUUCAAGUGACCCAUGUAGCACCGUAAUCACCUUCAAGUCAUCCUGAUCCCACUUCUCUUGAUCUGCCACCACCAGCUCUUGACCGCCUUCUCCUUCUCUAGCAACUGGUCUUGGAGCUCCACCAGAGAUAUGGCUCCAUAGACCCUUGCUCCCAACCGCUGCUUUCACCAAGCGAGACCACAACAGGUAGUUAGUACCACCCUUCAACGUAACCGCCACCGAGAGAGUCUUGCUCUUGCUUUCCUCCAUUCCAAAUGCUUUAAAGAACAACCGUAGAUGAAAUGAAGCUGAAGAUUAAUGAGAUUAGAAACCAGAAUAUGAGCAACCUGGCUCUGAUACCAUAUUAGAUUAAGAGAAUGAAAUGAUUUAGAGAAGAUUAAGGAACAGAAUGUGAGAUUAUGAAGAGUUUAGGUGAGAAUCAUGAUUAAGAGAGUAUGAAUGUAGAGAGAUAGACUCAGAACUGUAUGUUUAUUAUUAAUGACAAGAGUUACAAUAUAUAGUGAGAGAUCAUUAGGGUUUUCGAAAUCAUAAAGAGGAGCUAAGCAUGUGAGGUCAACAAGGUUAGGA
Molecule: long non-coding RNA, 5534 nt
Filed under: Brassica rapa (field mustard)
Lineage: Eukaryota; Viridiplantae; Streptophyta; Magnoliopsida; Brassicales; Brassicaceae
Description: long non-coding RNA (BRAP_LNC004165)
Source: RNAcentral